AGCGGACGCGCGGCGCUGGCCCGGAGCCUACCCAUGAGGCAGCGCGCCGGCCGCCCGCCGGAGCCUUCCCGGCCCGGGCGCCGCUCCGCGACGGAGCCGCUGCCUCAGCCGCACGCUCCUCCUCUUCCUCCUCCUCCUCAGGGCUGCCGUCAGGUCGACCCGCUCCACUCACGGGUUGAAGUCUGAAUCUUAAGGACUCGACGUCUCUUACUGCCCUUAUACGUAAAAGUGAGACGGAGCAUUUGAGUACAGAAGCUGCCCCUUGGCCUUGGCUAGGGGCCUGCGUGGGGCAUCUGUACCCACGCAGGGAGGAGUGGGCCGGCGAGGCCCCGGCUGGAGGGCUGUGUGCUUUGUGACGGCCUGACAUAAUGCCAUUACAGGGUCUCCCUAUGUAGUUCAGGCUGGCGAUCCUCCUGUCUCAGCCUCCUGAAUGGUGAGAAUACAGCCAUGUGCCACCAUACCCAGCUAAAAUACAAGAUUUUAAGUCAAAUAUUAGUCAUUGGUCUCUUUUUCAAUUAAGGAGCUUUCAGCUAAGAAUUUGAGUUUCAGAGGAGACUUGGACUUUGGACUUUUCAGCAGUACUGGAACAGUUAGGACUUUGGCAACUCGUAGAAGUGGACUAAAUGCAGUUUGCAUAAACAGAUAUGCAUGAAUAAGCCUAUGGGGAGCAGGAUGGAAUGUUACAGUUUAUAUCUAGAUGCCCCUCCCCCCAAGUUUCAUUUGCAUAUAGGUAUAGUACUCUCCCUCUCCUGUGGCUCACCUUAUUUUCUCUGCUUUCUGGCCAUUUUGAGCAGUUCUCUUCUGCUAUGCCUUUCUGCCAUGCCGACUUUCUUUGGAGCCAAUGGACUGUGGACUGAAACUUCUAUAGACUGUG
This 874-nucleotide long non-coding RNA is filed under the name Heterocephalus glaber (naked mole-rat). Its description in RNAcentral is "lncRNA (ENSHGLG00000034073.1)". Lineage: Eukaryota; Metazoa; Chordata; Mammalia; Rodentia; Bathyergidae. The record is from RNAcentral.